RNAcentral lists this ribosomal RNA (502 nucleotides) under Pseudomonas sp. RNAcentral describes it as "bacterial SSU rRNA". It matches the Rfam family "Bacterial small subunit ribosomal RNA", at positions 65 to 561 of the family's 1533-position model. Lineage: Bacteria; Pseudomonadati; Pseudomonadota; Gammaproteobacteria; Pseudomonadales; Pseudomonadaceae. The record is from RNAcentral.
AGCGGAUGAGAGGAGCUUGCUCCUUGAUUUAGCGGCGGACGGGUGAGUAAUGCCUAGGAAUCUGCCUGGUAGUGGGGGAUAACGUCCGGAAACGGGCGCUAAUACCGCAUACGUCCUACGGGAGAAAGCAGGGGACCUUCGGGCCUUGCGCUAUCAGAUGAGCCUAGGUCGGAUUAGCUAGUUGGUGAGGUAAUGGCUCACCAAGGCGACGAUCCGUAACUGGUCUGAGAGGAUGAUCAGUCACACUGGAACUGAGACACGGUCCAGACUCCUACGGGAGGCAGCAGUGGGGAAUAUUGGACAAUGGGCGAAAGCCUGAUCCAGCCAUGCCGCGUGUGUGAAGAAGGUCUUCGGAUUGUAAAGCACUUUAAGUUGGGAGGAAGGGCAUUAACCUAAUACGUUAGUGUUUUGACGUUACCGACAGAAUAAGCACCGGCUAACUUCGUGCCAGCAGCCGCGGUAAUACGAAGGGUGCAAGCGUUAAUCGGGAAUUACUGGGCGU